CGAGUCCCUGGGUUGCUUUCUGGGGGUCUGUGGUGCUGGGUGUGCUAUCUGCGUCUGAUUCUCUAGCGAGAGAUUGUGGGCGAGUUACCGAGUGGGCAAGGGGCUGUCACUGUGUGUGCGUGAUUGUGACGGUGUGUGGUGGUCGCUUCUGACUCCGCGUGGGUCGUUGAAUGUGUGACUGGGACCGUUUAGCGGUGGAUACACAACUGUGUGCGGCUGUGGAAGAUUCCCUCAUCGGUUAAGUUCCCAUUUCCGUGGAAAAACAGUUUUACCAGAAGGUUUCGAAGGAACUUUAAAGUUUGGAAGCGUAAGAGUUUAUCUGGCAGCUUUGGUGUCAUCAAGUGUGAAAAGCCCUGGACUUUACACAUCUAGUAUGAUCGGGAGUCUGAGUACCAGAUGCUGGUCAGGACCUGUUAUGCUGGGUCUCAGAAUGCGGAAACCCUCCUUGUCCGAGGUGGAACAGUUUGUCCUUGAGUCAGGCCGGGAGUCCUGAGUGACUCUUUUGAUUUGAUCCUGUUUCCCUCAGACCUGAGAUGGGGGCCUCACUGUAUUGCCCAGGCUGGUCUUGAACUCCUGAGCUCAAGUGAUCGUCUUGCUUCAGCCUUCCAAAAUGAUGGUGAAGCUGCAUCAUUGUCUGGGGUAAAUACCUGAGGUUCGUUGUCUCACGCCAAGGGAAUCAAGGAUGUGGACACACAAGAAAUGGGGUCCCUACCUGACCGGGCCAUGUUGUAUGUUCCGUACUGUACACGUGGUUGACAAAGAAAAGGGAAGAUGGAGCUGUGAUGUUGGACAUGCCUGGCCCCCAGGCAGCUUUUUCCUAUUGGCACAGCUGCUGGCAUUUACCCGUGCAAACUUCCAGCUUGCUUAUGUAUGUCUGCAGCUUGAUUUUUCAGGCUGCUCUUUGUUAGGAAAGAAAUGACUUGGGGGCUGCUUUUCAUUAAAAGGAAAACCUUACUGAGGAUUUCCUUACCCUCACUGUCUGCCUAAAUAAUUUCUUUUUAACUCCUAUGUCACUUGGGAUUACAGGCAUGAGCCGCUGUGCCUGCUAGAGGGUUUUUUAUCUUUAUUCCUCAAGAUUUUGCAUUUAGAUAAUUAUGUUAAACUUGGGUGUGCUAGGUAGACAUAUGUCUGCUGAUUACCCGUUUGGGAAGAAUGUGGAUUCCUAUGUAGGGAAAAGGAGUCAGGCUGGUGGGACCAGGGGAAAGCAAAGAGAUAAAACAAAUAAGCUAUAGAUCUGCAUUUUCUUCAUGGUCCAGGAUAUAUAAACAAAAAAAGGAAGCAGAUAAGCUAUAGGCUUGCUUUUCUUUAUGACCCAGGACAUACAGCCCUCCUGAGCAAAUAAUGAACAUAACUCACAAACUUCCUGUUUAUCAUCAAACGCACGCAUCCACUUUCAUCAAACACCUCGGUUGACAGAAGAAUGCAGGUUAGCUCCCUGCUGCCUUGGCAUUAUCAAUCAGCCCAGGAACCAUCCUAUAAAACGUCCAGCAAGCCUUUGUUUCCUUGCAGUCAGCUCCUCUGCCACUGAUUCUGCCUGUUGCUCCCUGAUAACAUACUUUGAUACUGUCUUAAAUAAAUCUGCCUUUCUUC
RNAcentral lists this long non-coding RNA (1590 nucleotides) under Pongo abelii (Sumatran orangutan). RNAcentral describes it as "lincRNA". Lineage: Eukaryota; Metazoa; Chordata; Mammalia; Primates; Hominidae. The record is from RNAcentral.